CGGUAGUCUGUCCAAUCUGUAUGUACUCAUCUACCGCAUCGGUUGGUAACCCGUACGCAAGGAUACGCAAUGCAGCACAAACUUUUUGCAAUGGACCAAGCCCUGCUAAACCUGUUGCAUCACAACGAAUAGUGAAGUAUUCGUCUUCUCGCUGAACGGCACGAAGGAUACGUAGGAACAAAGGACGAUGCAUCCAAAACCUAUAAACGAAAAUAAAGCAAAAAAUUAACAAAACAAACCUACAAAUGAAAGUAAAAUCAUAACUUAGGAAAUGUACCUUCGACGAAAGAC
This 291-nucleotide long non-coding RNA is filed under the name Zea mays. RNAcentral's name for it is "long non-coding RNA (ZMAY_LNC000650)". The record is from RNAcentral. Lineage: Eukaryota; Viridiplantae; Streptophyta; Magnoliopsida; Poales; Poaceae.